This is a long non-coding RNA of Gorilla gorilla gorilla (western lowland gorilla), 2824 nucleotides long. RefSeq lists it as uncharacterized. The record is from RefSeq and is a predicted model, not a curated record. The transcript is spliced from 3 exons. NCBI's taxonomy places the organism in Eukaryota, Metazoa, Chordata, Mammalia, Primates, Hominidae.
GCAACAGGCGGUGGGGUGCGACCCCCCUGCUGCAGGAGCCACCAUGGGUGCACUGCCUGAUGCCCAUUUCACUCCCCUCUGGUCACAGGCAUUCACUCUUGCGACAGCUGGACUUCUUGAGCGCCUACAAAUCCCCUUACCAGGAACCGGGGAUACAGAAAUCCAAAGUUGAGGUCUCUGCCUUCAGCGGGAGUCCAGCCUGGUUUAGAGUAAGACACAGAAACAAACAAAAAACUGUAUCAUCUCAACAGGUGACCUCAGAGUUCUUCCUCAGGAAGGCAUUGGCUUUAUUUAGGAAAGAUCUGGAUAAACUUCUGGAGCACGACAAUUUGGUUCACGAGGGCAUAGAUGUUGUCAGAGACAGGAAUUGGUGGUUGGAGUUACUGAAAGAGAGGGGAAGAGAAGGCAGGACGUGCACAGGUGGCCCAGCUGUGAGAAAGCCUGGCUGGAGGACUGCUUUGAAGAGAGAUAUGGAUUUUUAAGUGCUUUGCUUUUAAAAGUACCUCUGGCGACCCAUACAGCUUGAGUAAACAUUCUGUGGCUCCCAGCAGAAUUCUGUUCACUGUUACCACGGAAGAAGUGAUCAAAGAGAAGGGGCUUUGCUGGGUACAUGCCAGGGCAGAGGUCAAGGAAAAGCCACGGAUAGGGUCAAAGAACAGCUUGACAAAGGCUGAAAACUGGCACAAAGGCAACCUUGAGAACACAAGCCCCCUGCCCCCAAAAUUCAGAGAAACUUCGGGCAGGACACUGACUCCGUCUGAGAAGCUGCGUGGUGGGAUCUGAAUGGGUCCUAUCCAGAUCUGAAGGGUGGGGAGCACCCACUGACUCCUGGCUGUCUGGUGACAAAAGUGAGGGGAGGAGCUUCCAGUUUUACCUGGGAGGCAGGGAAAGGUGCCCAGAGGAGGUGAUGCCAAGCAAACUCCCACAGGAGGAGACAGGAGGAGGUGCUGAUGAGAGGGCUCCAGCCAAGCAAAGGGAGCAAGGGCCCAUCUGCCCAUCGGGUGUCAAACCUCUGAACAUGGAGAAGUUUUUAUUUAGUGAGGUGUGGGGCAAAUGUGGAAAACCUCAGACAUGACAUUCCAGCUUCAGAAAAAAAAUACAUUUUUUUCUCAAAUUCAAAUCUCACACCAGGAUGGCCUUGUCUACCUUCAAAAGUGGUGCCAUAUCCAGACAUAGAUGAUGGCUAGAUGGAUAGACAGACACCAAAAAGAAACCCAUUACCCUCUCUCAAGAAGAUUGUCUGAGAGCGUAUUCUCAGAGCAGCCUCUGAUGCUGGGCGUGGCAGAGCUCACAGAAGGACUAAACUUUUCAAAAUUCACACUGUGCUAUCUGGCCUGCUGAGUCAGUUUGCAAAGCACUUGUGUUGAUAGUAUCUGGCUUGCCUCCUUAUUUCAGGGAGACAAAAACCUACUUCUUGUCCCUGGCAGUGCACAACCCCUCCUUCAGCAAGUUUCCCGGCCUGUGGUGGCUGCCCCAAGGUGCUUUGCCAGCUUCCCUGUGUCUGUUCUGCCUCAGUCAUCUCAGGGUGCAGGCAAAGCCAGCCCUUCUACCUGGCAGUGCUGAACUAGGAAAAAGUUUGCUCAACAAUACUGAGCAGCCCGCCCCAUGGAUGGGUGCAUUGAAUGUGUCUGCACUUGUCAGGUACAUCUGGCUUCUGCGUUCAGGACAAUUACAGGGCACUCUGCAAAAUUACUUACUGAGUUGGAGGGCCUGAGAGCACUUCCGUUGUGACAGUGGAGGCGGGCACUGGGAAAGGCUGCCCUUUAAAGGGUGAUGGAGGUGCUAACGGAGAGCCCGGCUCCCAGGCUCACUCACGCCUUCCAGGGCAUGUGGGUGGACGUGGUAGUCAGCAAAAAGCAAGGGCUUCUCCCAGCGCAUGGGUAUGGGGCUGGAAGAGGGAAGGGCACAGGGGCCCUCUGGCUCUGGUCCUACCAGCUGGUUGGGAAAGGCUUCUCAUGAGCGCUUCACACACAAAGCAAGACUGAUGGAUGUUACGAGGAGCCACCUUGCAUGCCGGUGUCUGUUGAAGGAAUGAACGUGUGGACAGCGUGGGUGCAUAGAUCCAGUCUUCCUCACUGGCUAUGGUGUUCUCACUGAUCCACAUGCUCCCUCUGUUCUUACAGGUCAUUGCUUGGGAAAAAGAAAACAAAAGAGGAGGAGGAGGAGGAGAAAGUAUAGAAACAAGAAAUAGAAGCAGGAGCAUAAGCAAAUGAAGAGGAACUAGAUGAUGGUGAUGAGAAAAAGAAAAAACAGACUGGAAGAAAGUAGGAAAAACAGGUGCUGCUGCUUCUUGGCCUUCUUCACCCUCUGACUGCGCACUGUACUCAGAGCAUCCAGCAGUGCAAGGAUCUGACAGGGACAAAACCUGGCGAGCAUCAGAAUAUUCUCACAGACACCGCACACUCCCAUCCAGGCAUGUCAGCUGAUGGAAUCCAAGAUAGACGCAACCCAGGAUCCAAAUGAAUGUUAACGCCUUGAAAAUGCAUCCCAAGCUAGGAAAUCAUUGUUGGCAUGGAGAUACAGGUGUGAGCACAUUUACCUUUACCACAAAACCACCUCUGUUCAUCACUCUAUGGGCUCUGUGUGCCACUAACCAGGACGAAGGGUUCCCCAGCCAUGCCUAUGACUCCACAUUAAAAUGCACAGGGCAGAACACGGCCAAGCAAAGGACUGGAAAUAGACUCCAGCCCUGCCUCUAACCUAUAGUUCUAGUGCCGUGAAUAACUCUGGCCUCAUCCCCUCCUGAUCAAAACUGAGUAACAGUAGAAAUGCAAAGUGUGCUGCCAAGAGUGUUAUUUUCCUAUCUAAACGGCAGUCAAUUGGC